Non-coding RNA from Podarcis lilfordi (Lilford's wall lizard), 189 nucleotides. NCBI's taxonomy places the organism in Eukaryota, Metazoa, Chordata, Lepidosauria, Squamata, Lacertidae. The record is from the annotation of a GenBank genome assembly.
UUCCUGAUGUUUAGUCGUAAUCUCCUUUCUUGUAGCUUGAAGCCAUUGGGUUGAGUCCUCCCCUCCAGAGUAGAAGAAAACAAGCUUGUUCCAUCUUCCAUGUGACAGCCCUUGAGAUAUUUGAAGAUGGCUAUCAUAUCUCCUCUCAGUCUCCUUUUUCCAGGCUAAACAUACCCAGCUCCUUCAACC